AAGGAAUAUGCUGAUGAAAAUGGCUGAAGGAAAUUGCAAGGUACAUGUUCAAGUGCAGAGAGCUAAGAAUUUCCCAAAGAGACAAGAGUAUGCUUGUUAGGGAAGUAUACAUGCUACAUUGUAAAACCUUGUUGAGAUUUUCUAAUGGAAUCUUCUGCUUGAAGUGUUGAUGCGAUGUGUCGUAGUAAUAAUAUCUUUUUCUAUCAGUUUGCAUGAUCAUGAGCAGAGAGCUAAGAAUUUCCCAAAGAGACAAGAGUAUGCUUGUUAGGGAAGUAGACGUGCUACAUUGUAGAACCAUGUUGAGAUUUUCUAAUGGAAUCUUCUGCUUGAAGUGUUGAUGUGAUGUGUUGUAGUAAUAAUAUCUUUUUCUAUCGGUUUAAGAACAGUUUUCAAGUUAUAUAUUUGUAAGUUAUGAUCUUUGGGUGAGCUUAUGCAUCAUAGUGGUCGUGACAUUGGUGGAGCUCACAACAUUGCACAAUCCAGUCCUGCAUGUGCCUUUUACCAUAUGCAAUCUUUAGGCAACUUAGAUGUACUUUUGAAUUGUCUUCAAAGGAUGUUCUGGAAAACACUUCUCAUAUAUCUUCAAUUAUUGUGGCAGA
This 599-nucleotide long non-coding RNA is filed under the name Citrus sinensis (sweet orange). RNAcentral's name for it is "long non-coding RNA (CSIN_LNC003687)". The record is from RNAcentral. Lineage: Eukaryota; Viridiplantae; Streptophyta; Magnoliopsida; Sapindales; Rutaceae.